This 253-nucleotide ribosomal RNA is filed under the name uncultured bacterium. RNAcentral's name for it is "partial 16S ribosomal RNA". It matches the Rfam family "Bacterial small subunit ribosomal RNA", at positions 524 to 776 of the family's 1533-position model. The record is from RNAcentral.
GACGAAGGGGGCUAGCGUUGUUCGGAAUUACUGGGCGUAAAGCGCGUGUAGGCGGUUUUUCAAGUUGGGUGUGAAAGCCUUGGGCUUAACCCAAGAAAUGCACUCAGUACUGGAAGACUAGAGGACCGGAGAGGAUAGUGGAAUUCCCAGUGUAGUGGUGAAAUACGUAGAGAUUGGGAAGAACACCAGUGGCGAAGGCGGCUAUCUGGACGGUUUCUGACGCUAAGACGCGAAAGCGUGGGGAGCAAACGGG